AGGGUUUGAUUCUGGCUCAGGAUGAACGCUGGCGGCGUGCUUAACACAUGCAAGUCGAACGAAGCACUUAAUGAGAUUUCUUCGGAUUGAUUAUUUUGUGACUGAGUGGCGGACGGGUGAGUAACGCGUGGGUAACCUGCCCCAGACCGGGGGAUAACAGUCGGAAACGACUGCUAAUACCGCAUAAGCGCACAGUGCUGCAUGGCACAGUGUGAAAAACUCCGGUGGUCUGGGAUGGACCCGCGUCCGAUUAGUUAGUUGGCGGGGUAACGGCCCACCAAGACCGCGAUCGGUAGCCGACCUGAGAGGGUGACCGGCCACAUUGGGACUGAGACACGGCCCAG
Molecule: ribosomal RNA, 344 nt
Filed under: uncultured bacterium
Lineage: Bacteria
Description: bacterial SSU rRNA
Rfam family: Bacterial small subunit ribosomal RNA
Source: RNAcentral